Long non-coding RNA from Lotus japonicus, 313 nucleotides. RefSeq lists it as uncharacterized. NCBI's taxonomy places the organism in Eukaryota, Viridiplantae, Streptophyta, Magnoliopsida, Fabales, Fabaceae. The record is from RefSeq and is a predicted model, not a curated record. The transcript is spliced from 3 exons.
GUUUUUUAUUUCUUAUCUCAAGCCACUUGCUAAACUUGACCAGGACAUGUGGCUGAAGGAUUUUGUGCUUGAUUUGUAUCCAGAUACUAAAGGUUGUUCUCCAGCUCUGUGAUUCCAGGAUCUGGUUGUAGCCUCCUUAUGUUAAUUCUCUUCAAUGGUCUAAGUAGUGCAUGUUGUGCUUGGAUGAGAAGAUCGUGCCUAAGACUACUAACUACAAGCUUGAUUUUAAUGGAUUUCUCUCCAAGGGAAGGAAAAGACGCAACAAGUGUCCUUAAAUGUUCCUACAAGAUGCAAAAUUUGACUUGGAUAGCAA